GCUUACAAGUAGUCAGAGCCCGUUAAUGGGUGAUGGCGUGCCUUUUGUAGAAUGAACCGGCGAGUUACGAUUUGAUGCAAGGUUAAGCAGUAAAUGUGGAGCCGUAGCGAAAGCGAGUCUGAAUAGGGCGUUUAGUAUUUGGUCGUAGACCCGAAACCAGGUGAUCUACCCUUGGUCAGGUUGAAGUUCAGGUAACACUGAAUGGAGGACCGAACCGACUUACGUUGAAAAGUGAGCGGAUGAACUGAGGGUAGCGGAGAAAUUCCAAUCGAACCUGGAGAUAGCUGGUUCUCUCCGAAAUAGCUUUAGGGCUAGCCUCAAGUGAUGAUUAUUGGAGGUAGAGCACUGUUUGGACGAGGGGCCCCUCUCGGGUUACCGAAUUCAGACAAACUCCGAAUGCCAAUUAAUUUAACUUGGGAGUCAGAACAUGGGUGAUAAGGUCCGUGUUCGAAAGGGAAACAGCCCAGACCACCAGCUAAGGUCCCAAAAUAUAUGUUAAGUGGAAAAGGAUGUGGCGUUGCCCAGACAACUAGGAUGUUGGCUUAGAAGCAGCCAUCAUUUAAAGAGUGCGUAAUAGCUCACUAGUCGAGUGACACUGCGCCGAAAAUGUACCGGGGCUAAACAUAUUACCGAAGCUGUGGAUUGUCCUUUGGACAAUGGUAGGAGAGCGUUCUAAGGGCGUUGAAGCAUGAUCGUAAGGACAUGUGGAGCGCUUAGAAGUGAGAAUGCCGGUGUGAGUAGCGAAAGACGGGUGAGAAUCCCGUCCACCGAUUGACUAAGGUUUCCAGAGGAAGGCUCGUCCGCUCUGGGUUAGUCGGGUCCUAAGCUGAGGCCGACAGGCGUAGGCGAUGGAUAACAGGUUGAUAUUCCUGUACCACCUAUA
RNAcentral lists this ribosomal RNA (883 nucleotides) under Staphylococcus aureus. RNAcentral's name for it is "partial 23S ribosomal RNA". It matches the Rfam family "Bacterial large subunit ribosomal RNA", at positions 562 to 1452 of the family's 2925-position model. Lineage: Bacteria; Bacillati; Bacillota; Bacilli; Caryophanales; Staphylococcaceae. The record is from RNAcentral.